GAGCUCGAUGAGUAGGGCGGGACACGUGGUAUCCUGUCUGAAUAUGGGGGGACCAUCCUCCAAGGCUAAAUACUCCUGACUGACCGAUAGUGAACCAGUACCGUGAGGGAAAGGCGAAAAGAACCCCGGCGAGGGGAGUGAAAAAGAACCUGAAACCGUGUACGUACAAGCAGUGGGAGCCUCUUUAUGGGGUGACUGCGUACCUUUUGUAUAAUGGGUCAGCGACUUAUAUUCUGUAGCAAGGUUAACCGAAUAGGGGAGCCGAAGGGAAACCGAGUCUUAACUGGGCGUUAAGUUGCAGGGUAUAGACCCGAAACCCGGUGAUCUAGCCAUGGGCAGGUUGAAGGUUGGGUAACACUAACUGGAGGACCGAACCGACUAAUGUUGAAAAAUUAGCGGAUGACUUGUGGCUGGGGGUGAAAGGCCAAUCAAACCGGGAGAUAGCUGGUUCUCCCCGAAAGCUAUUUAGGUAGCGCCUCGUGAAUUCAUCUCCGGGGGUAGAGCACUGUUUCGGCAAGGGGGUCAUCCCGACUUACCAACCCGAUGCAAACUGCGAAUACCGGAGAAUGUUAUCACGGGAGACACACGGCGGGUGCUAACGUCCGUCGUGAAGAGGGAAACAACCCAGACCGCCAGCUAAGGUCCCAAAGUCAUGGUUAAGUGGGAAACGAUGUGGGAAGGCCCAGACAGCCAGGAUGUUGGCUUAGAAGCAGCCAUCAUUUAAAGAAAGCGUAAUAGCUCACUGGUCGAGUCGGCCUGCGCGGAAGAUGUAACGGGGCUAAACCAUG
This 788-nucleotide ribosomal RNA is filed under the name Escherichia coli. RNAcentral's name for it is "partial 23S ribosomal RNA". It matches the Rfam family "Bacterial large subunit ribosomal RNA", at positions 401 to 1191 of the family's 2925-position model. Lineage: Bacteria; Pseudomonadati; Pseudomonadota; Gammaproteobacteria; Enterobacterales; Enterobacteriaceae. The record is from RNAcentral.